Molecule: transfer RNA, 68 nt
Filed under: Marmota monax (woodchuck)
Lineage: Eukaryota; Metazoa; Chordata; Mammalia; Rodentia; Sciuridae
Description: tRNA.Ala
Source: RNAcentral
GGUUUGUGGCUCAGUGGUAGAGUGCUCACCUAGCAUGUGCAAGGCCCUGGGUUCGAUCCUUAGCACCA